Molecule: ribosomal RNA, 501 nt
Filed under: uncultured bacterium
Lineage: Bacteria
Description: bacterial SSU rRNA
Rfam family: Bacterial small subunit ribosomal RNA
Source: RNAcentral
CGAGUUUGAUCAUGGCUACGAGAUUGAACGCUGGCGGAAUGCUUUACACAUGCAAGUCGAACGGUAGAGGGGGCAACCCUUGAGAGUGGCGAACGGGUGAGUAAUAUAUCGGAACGUGCCCAGUCGUGGGGGAUAACGUAGCGAAAGUUACGCUAAUACCGCAUACGAUCUAAGGAUGAAAGCGGGGGAUCGCAAGACCUCGCGCGAUUGGAGCGGCCGAUAUCAGAUUAGGUAGUUGGUGAGGUAAAGGCUCACCAAGCCGACGAUCUGUAGCUGGUCUGAGAGGACGACCAGCCACACUGGGACUGAGACACGGCCCAGACUCCUACGGGAGGCAGCAGUGGGGAAUUUUGGACAAUGGGCGCAAGCCUGAUCCAGCAAUGCCGCGUGCAGGAUGAAGGCCUUCGGGUUGUAAACUGCUUUUGUACGGAACGAAACGGUGAGCUCUAAUACAGUUUGCUAAUGACGGUACCGUAAGAAUAAGCACCGGCUAACUACGUG